This is a non-coding RNA of Heterocephalus glaber (naked mole-rat), 418 nucleotides long. NCBI's taxonomy places the organism in Eukaryota, Metazoa, Chordata, Mammalia, Rodentia, Bathyergidae. The record is from RefSeq and is a predicted model, not a curated record.
GGACCACUCACUUGUGUUGAUGAGGAACUGGUUGGAGACCCCAGGGUGGUCCACAUCAUGAAUGGCAGCUGCGAAGAGGGCUGCGAGAAUCUCCAGGUCUGUGAACACCGCCUGGUGACAGAGAGUUGGGGACGCUGAGAGACAGUAUUAGAAUGAAGGGGAGUGACAGGUGAAGGACCUAAGACCCAGAGAAGUGACCCGGCUGUUCCAAGAUCCUGAGGUGGCUCACAAGUGGCAAAGCUGGAAGUCGACCCAGCUCAGCCUCUAAGAAGUGGGGGCGGCAGGCAUGAGCACCCCUCUCGGAAGGCCCCUUCACCCUUCGGCUUCUCACCACGUCCUGGGAAGACUCACCCAAAAGGGUGAACCCUGUUUGAGUGGCACUCGGAUGGGUGCUCUGUGGCUGGCAGCCAGAGGGGGU